Molecule: ribosomal RNA, 1943 nt
Filed under: human gut metagenome
Description: bacterial LSU rRNA
Rfam family: Bacterial large subunit ribosomal RNA
Source: RNAcentral
UCAAGCUAAAAAGAGCGCAGGGUGGAUGCCUUGGCACUAAGAGCCGAUGAAAGACGUGAUAAGCUGCGAUAAGCUACGGGGAGGAGCACAUAUCCAUUGAUCCGUAGAUUUCUGAAUGGGGAAACCCGGCUGAGCAUACCUCAGUCACCGUGCACUGAAUCCAUAGGUGUACGGAGGGAACCCGGUGAACUGAAACAUCUAAGUAGCCGGAGGAAGAGAAAGAAAACUCGAUUUUCAAAGUAGCGGCGAGCGAAAUGGAAAGAGCCCAAACCGGAGUGCGUGCACUCCGGGGUUCGGACUGCAUUUAUGACUUCUGACUGUAGCGGAACGGUUCUGGAAAGACCGGCCAGAGAGGGUGAGAGCCCCGUAGGCGAAACGGAAAGAAGCAGAGCAGGAUCCAGAGUACCACGAGACACGAGAAACCUUGUGGGAAUAAGCGGGGACCACCCCGUAAGGCUAAAUACUCCUUAGUGACCGAUAGAGCAGAGUACUGUGAAGGAAAGGUGAAAAGGACCCCGGGAGGGGAGUGAAAGAGAACCUGAAACCCUGUGUUUACAAACUGUGGAAGUACCAUACGAGUACAACCGCGUACUUUUUGUAGAACGGUCCGGCGAGUUACGUUUACUGGCGAGGUUAAGCACUUAAGGUGCGGAGCCGAAGGGAUACCAAGUCUUAACAGGGCGUAAAGUCAGUGUACGUAGACCCGAAACCGGGUGAUCUACCCAUGUCCAGGCUGAAGUUGCCGUAAAAGGCAAUGGAGGGCCGAACGCACAUCCGUUGAAAAGGGUGGCGAUGAGGUGUGGGUAGGGGAGAAAUUCCAAUCGAACCCGGAGAUAGCUGGUUCUCCUCGAAAUAGCUUUAGGGCUAGCCUCGUUUUAGUCUUAUGGAGGUAGAGCACUGAAUUUCCGCGGGGGCGUCAAAGCUUACCAAAGAAUAUCAAACUCCGAAUGCCAUGUAGAUGAUGAACGGGAGUCAGACUGCACGAGAUAAGUUGGGCAGUCAAAAGGGAAAGAGCCCAGACCGCCAGCUAAGGUCCCAAAGUGUGUGUUAAGUGGAAAAGGAUGUGGGAUUUCGAAGACAACUAGGAUGUUGGCUCAGAAGCAGCCAUACAUUAAAAGAGUGCGUAAUAGCUCACUAGUCGAGAGGUCCUGCGCCGAAAAUGUCCGGGGCUGAAACACAACACCGAAGCUGCGGAACCCGCAAGGGUUGGUAGAGGAGCAUUCUUAAAGGAACGAAGCAGUACCGAAAGGAGCUGUGGACUUUUAAGAAGAGAGAAUGCCGGAAUGAGUAGCGAGAGUAAGGUGAGAAUCCUUACGGCCGAAUAUCCAAGGUUUCCAGGGUAAAGCUGAUCUGCCCUGGGGAAGUCGGGACCUAAGGCGAGGCCGAGAGGCGUAGCCGAUGGACAACAGGUUGAGAUUCCUGUACUACAGUAUGACAGAACUGUGGGGACGCAGAAGGAGAGCACUACCUGGAAUGGAAUCCAGGGGCAAGCACAGGAGGGGUACGGCUGGAAAAACCGCCGUGCAACCCAAAGGUGUGACGCAUACCGAACUAAAGUAGGGAAAUGUGUGAGCCGGCUGCCGAGAAAAGCCGCUAUUGUUUGUACUGUACCCGUACCGUAAACCGACACAGGUGGAUGAGGAGAGAAUCCUAAGGCCGACGGAAGAAGCAUUGCUAAGGAACUCGGCAAAAUGACCCUGUAACUUCGGGAGAAAGGGUGCCUCGAAAGAGGCCGCAGAGAAUAGGCCCAAGCAACUGUUUAGCAAAAACACAGGUCUAUGCAAAACCGCAAGGUGAAGUAUAUGGGCUGACGCCUGCCCGGUGCUGGAAGGUUAAGGGGAGAUGUCAGGAGACGAAGCAUCGAACUUAAGCCCCAGUAAACGGCGGCCGUAACUAUAACGGUCCUAAGGUAGCGAAAUUCCUUGUCGGGUAAGUUCCGACCC